RNAcentral lists this transfer RNA (72 nucleotides) under Cavia porcellus (domestic guinea pig). It matches the Rfam family "tRNA". Rfam says of the family: Transfer RNA (tRNA) molecules are approximately 80 nucleotides in length. Their secondary structure includes four short double-helical elements and three loops (D, anti-codon, and T loops). The record is from Rfam by way of RNAcentral. Lineage: Eukaryota; Metazoa; Chordata; Mammalia; Rodentia; Caviidae.
UGGGGUGUAGCUUAGUAGUAGAGUGCUUGCCUAAAAUGUGUAAGGACCUGGGUUCUAAUCCCUGUGCCACAG